CCUACGGGGUGCAGCAGUGGGGGAUAUUGCACAAUGGGGGGAACCCUGAUGCAGCGACGCCGCGUGGGUGAAGAAGCGCCUCGGCGCGUAAAGCCCUGUCAGCAGGGAAGAAAAUGACGGUACCUGAAGAAGAAGCCCCGGCUAACUACGUGCCAGCAGCGGCGGUAAUACGUAGGGGGCAAGCGUUAUCCGGAUUUACUGGGUGGAAAGGGGGCGCAGACGGCGAUGCAAGCCAGGAGUGAAAGCCCGGGGCCCAACCCCGGGACUGCUCUUGGAACUGCGUGGCUGGAGUGCAGGAGGGGCAGGCGGAAUUCCUGGUGUAGCGGUGAAAUGCGUAGAUAUCAGGAGGAACACCGGUGGCGAAGGCGGCCUGCUGGACUGCAACUGACGUUGAGGCCCGAAAGCGUGGGGAGCAAACAGGAUUAGAUACCCUGGUAGUC
This 440-nucleotide ribosomal RNA is filed under the name uncultured bacterium. RNAcentral describes it as "partial 16S ribosomal RNA". It matches the Rfam family "Bacterial small subunit ribosomal RNA", at positions 338 to 795 of the family's 1533-position model. The record is from RNAcentral.